Bombina bombina (fire-bellied toad) is the source of this 114-nucleotide small nuclear RNA. RefSeq annotates it as U5 spliceosomal RNA. The transcript has a single exon. The record is from RefSeq and is a predicted model, not a curated record. NCBI's taxonomy places the organism in Eukaryota, Metazoa, Chordata, Amphibia, Anura, Bombinatoridae.
AUACUCUGGUUUCUCUUCAGAUCUAAUAAAGCUUUUGCCUUUACUAAGGAUUCCGUGGAGAGGAACAUCCAUGAGUUUUCAAUAAUUUUUUGAGGCUCUGCCCCUUGCAGGGCU